CACCCCGUCAUCAUCAUGCUGAUUUGCUGCUGCCGCUCGUCCUCCUACUCCAUCUGCAUGGACAAGAGCAAGUUAGUUGAAUGGCAUGCACGAUAAAAUUGCAAGGCAUAUAUAUUCAUCUACAUUAAUUGUACUACAGUACAAAUUUUGCAUGGAUGGGUUUGACUUCAACAGAGACUGAAGGAAGAGCAUUUUCCCCUCCCAAUCCAAAACCUGUUGUACAAGUACAGCUCUAAGAGAAGGAACUGUGGUACAACAAGAGGCGCUCCAAAUCAAACUAAAUCUUAGUUUCUUUAUUUACCUAAGAAACAGCACAACCAUAACUUCUGCCAAGCAAGCAGUUAUCAUACUAUCAGCUAAAAGAAAAACAAAGGGAGAUCACGUGUCACUUUCAUGGAAAACAUCAAAAGUAGAUGAUAGGAAAAAGUAGAUGAUCAUCAAAUUCCCUCACACUCAACAGUGAAAAAUGCUACUACCAUUGAUAGCAAGGACUAACUAUUCCCACUACCUGGAUGCAGCGUCCUUCAUUUUGCAAACAAAAAAAAGAGCACAUUAUCAAACUCCUUCACAUACAUAAAUGAAUAGAAGCAACCAAAUUCAACGGUACUACCAAAAUCAAAUUACUAAUAUAAUAGAUGGACGCCCAUCAUCAAAAUUGGUAACAUAAUCCAAGAAGUUCAGUAGCUAGUAUUAAUUAAUAUAAUCUAGUUGAUUAAGAGGAGCAAGCACGGAUUGGGUUUGAAGCACUCAAGUUACAUCUAGCGCUGCUUGAGGAUGGUCUCCUACAAGGGUCCAGACCUCAUCUUCUCAUCGAUCUUGAGGAUGGUCUCCUACAAGGGUCCUACGAGUAGCCUUUUUAUCAUGAAAGGAGUACAAGUAGCAUUGCUUUGAUUCUAAUUGUAAUUCCUAGUUGAUUAUCAAAAUUCUGUAUGAGCAAAUAUCCAUUGCCAAAUACUCCUACAUGACAGAUCUAGCACAUGACCAAAAUAAGUGCUCCAUAGCCACAACCGGACUGACCAAAAUGCAACUAAAUAUGACCAAUAACUACCAAUUCAUGGAUGAUCUGAACCUGUACCCGCCGAUGCUCGCCGUGGACUCUGCCAUCAGCGCCGAGACGCCGCCGUUGAGAAUCUUGAAGGGCUGCGACCAUCCCGACCACGCCGACGUUGCUGUGCCUGCAGCAACAGCAGCUCGACGCCGCCGGGGCCUCCUCUAAACAAGACAGAAAUAAAAAGCAUGUAU
This 1242-nucleotide long non-coding RNA is filed under the name Triticum aestivum (bread wheat). RNAcentral describes it as "long non-coding RNA (TAES_LNC003435)". Lineage: Eukaryota; Viridiplantae; Streptophyta; Magnoliopsida; Poales; Poaceae. The record is from RNAcentral.